UUAAAUUACAUCAAGUUUUGUGUCUUUUAAAAAAAGACAAAAGAACUUUCCCAUCUAAUGGGGAAGACAACAAGCAAGUGAAUCUAAACUAACAAGAGUCUCCAAUAAAGAGGCAAGAAAAAAGUCAAGAGCACUGACAAUACCUGGGAUGUACAGGAUUAACCUGGUGCCUUCAAUGUCCGACCCAGUUCUAAGCACUUCACAGAGUCUGCUUCAGGCAUCUUCAUGGCCGUUGGAACAAAUAUAUUCAUCUGCCUGUUCCACUGAUGGAAUCCUUUGUGUAUUUAGAUUAUAUAUCUGCCAAGAUGGUUUUACCAGGGUAUGGCUAUUGUGGAUACUAUAUUGUGGAUACUUGGAACCACAGUCUUGGGCAGGGGAAGAUCUUGUGAACCAUGAAGAUCUUAGAGGAUUUUGGGCUACCCAUCUUCUCAUCAGUAUCCUGGAUCCCUGCUGUAUCCUUGGAACAGCUGAUGGCAGUGUCUGCACCUGGAACUCUACACUGUGCAAAAAGCUACACUGUGCUGAAGGAGAGCAUCUUAAUACCCCACAAAGAAGAGAAUAGGCUUCUGGAAACCAGGAGCUGGAAGCAAUUCCUUUCCCACAUAUGUUGUCCAAGCAUGAACCCACUUUCUCUUGGAUUUUAUGUACUGGUGGGUGUACUGAUGGGGAGAGACAGAUAGAGACAGAGACAGACACAGAGAAAUAGAGAGAGAGACAUAGAGAGAAAAUCAGAGACAGAGACAGAGAUACACAGAGAUGGGGGACAGAGAUAGAAAAAGAGCCAGACAGUCAGACAAUUUCUUACAUCCAUCCUUAAAUGGCAAGAAAGUGAAGCUAGUAAAGGUAGAGGGAAUCAUAUAAAUGACCCUUGGGAUUUUCAAAUAUCUUUCAGACUUAUGGUUGCUCAUUCAAAGAAUUCUGUUUUUCUUUUUUUUUUCUUUUAAUAAAACUUUUUCUCUCCAAUAA
Antechinus flavipes (yellow-footed antechinus) is the source of this 966-nucleotide long non-coding RNA. RefSeq lists it as uncharacterized. Lineage: Eukaryota; Metazoa; Chordata; Mammalia; Dasyuromorphia; Dasyuridae. The record is from RefSeq and is a predicted model, not a curated record. The transcript has 3 exons.